ACAACUUUCAACAACGGAUCUCUUGGCUCUCGCAUCGAUGAAGAACGCAGCGAAAUGCGGUAAGUAAUGUGAAUUGCAGAAUUCAGUGGAUCAUCGAAUCUUUGAACGCAUCUUGCGCUCCUUGGUAUUCCGAGGAGCAUGCCUGUUUGAGUGUCAUUAAA
This 161-nucleotide ribosomal RNA is filed under the name Amanita basiorubra. Its description in RNAcentral is "5.8S ribosomal RNA". It matches the Rfam family "5.8S ribosomal RNA". Rfam says of the family: 5.8S ribosomal RNA (5.8S rRNA) is a component of the large subunit of the eukaryotic ribosome. It is transcribed by RNA polymerase I as part of the 45S precursor that also contains 18S and 28S rRNA. Lineage: Eukaryota; Fungi; Basidiomycota; Agaricomycetes; Agaricales; Amanitaceae. The record is from RNAcentral.